This 759-nucleotide ribosomal RNA is filed under the name Triticum aestivum (bread wheat). RNAcentral's name for it is "partial small subunit ribosomal RNA". The record is from RNAcentral. Lineage: Eukaryota; Viridiplantae; Streptophyta; Magnoliopsida; Poales; Poaceae.
AUGCAGCUGGUGUCCGGGCUGCUGGGAUGCGCCAAUGCAAAUUUCCUUUGUCGCUAUGUCGGGCUACCACUGUCCAUUCGGAAGCAGACAGCUGUGCAUUUUCAAGACCUGGUAGACCAAAUUGCAGCGCGCCUGCCAUCAUGGAAGGCGGCUUCCCUACCGAAGAGCAGCCGGGUGCUACUGAUCCAGUCGGUCCUUUGUGCAAUCCCGGUGCACUCGAUGAUAGCCAUGGGUCUGCCUCCGAAAACGAUCAAGGCGAUCAUCAAGAUUUGCAGAAUUUUCUCGUGGUUUGGAAAGGAGGAAGCAAGAGGAGGUAAAUGCGUUGCUUGGGAGACUCUCUGUCGACCAAAGUGGGCAGGUGGCCUUGGUGUCCCCAACCUAAGGUGGAUGAAUGUGGCUUUGCAACCUAAAUGGCUAUGGUUGCAGCGGACAGACCCGUCUAGACCAUGGGUGUGACGCCCCCGAUUCAUCAUUGAUGAGGCAAAAGGCUUGUUUCAGGCAGCGACUAGACUGACCCUUGGCGAUGGUCGCCUUGCUUUGUUCUGGGAGGAUAGAUGGUUAAAUGGUUACCAAAUACAAGAGCUGGCUCCAGCGGUAUAUGAAAACGUGCCAAAGAAAGUUCAAAGCUCCAGAACCGUGGCUAAAGCUCUACAGGAUGCAAUGUGGGCCCAUGACAUUGGACCAAACUUGGACGAGACCAGCCUUCGACAGUUUCUGGAGACCUUGUCGAGGGUGGCCAAUAUAACACUAAACACUUAG